This 494-nucleotide ribosomal RNA is filed under the name uncultured bacterium. Its description in RNAcentral is "partial 16S ribosomal RNA". It matches the Rfam family "Bacterial small subunit ribosomal RNA", at positions 28 to 507 of the family's 1533-position model. The record is from RNAcentral.
GACGAACGCUGGCGGCGUGCUUAACACAUGCAAGUCGAACGGUGAAGCGCCUUCCUUUUUGGUGGGUGUGGAUGAGUGGCGAACGGGUGAGUAACACGUGAGUAACCUGCCCCCUUCUUCUGGAUAACCGCAUGAAAGUGUGGCUAAUACGGGAUAUUCUGGGUCUGUCGCAUGAUGGGUCUGGGAAAGAUAUUGUUUCGGUGGGGGAUGGGCUCGCGGCCUAUCAGCUUGUUGGUGGGGUGAUGGCCUACCAAGGCGGUGACGGGUAGCCGGCCUGAGAGGGUGGACGGUCACACUGGGACUGAGACACGGCCCAGACUCCUACGGGAGGCAACAGUGGGGAAUAUUGCACAAUGGGCGCAAGCCUGAUGCAGCGACGCCGCGUGAGGGAUGGAGGCCUUCGGGUUGUGAACCUCUUUCGCCAGUGAAGCAGGCCUGCCUCGUUUGUGGGUGGGUUGACGGUAGCUGGAUAAGAAGCGCCGGCUAACUACGUG